Molecule: long non-coding RNA, 587 nt
Organism: Erinaceus europaeus (western European hedgehog)
Lineage: Eukaryota; Metazoa; Chordata; Mammalia; Eulipotyphla; Erinaceidae
Exons: 2
Source: RefSeq, a predicted model, not a curated record
CAUUUCAAGGGCGAGGACAGUAUCGGCAUUAAAACGAUCCUUUCUCUUCUGUCCCUGUUAAUAGGUGGCACUGCAACUUCUGAACUACAGGUGAAAUGUGUUAUUUUUACAUCUCCUUUUAUUUCGGGUGGUGGGGGGAAUGGAGACACCAGGGCGUUUGCAGAUGUGUGAUUUCACCACUCCUAGCCAAUUUGUUCAGAGACCAUCAGAGGAAGAGACACCAUAGCACCAAAGAGCGGCCCCCUCCUCCAUCACCAUACUGCUCCCAUGUGGUAAGCUGGGGGUUUGAAUCUGAGCCGUGCAGACAAAGCAGGUGCCCAACCAAGGCUCCUGGUCUCCAAAGAUGAAUUACAGGAGGACAAAAGAGGUCACGGUGAUCACUUCCCUGCUCUCUCCACAAGAAGAAAACUGAACCACACAGCAGCCUCCAAAAGUACUUACUCUUGAUAUGAGCAUGCUCAGUGUCUAAUUUAAAUAACUUGGGUGUUUCAGCUCAGCUGUGAUGGCCUACUUCCAAAGAAGCGAAGAGAGCUGCAAACUCAAUCGAAGAUCAUUAGCUGUAAUAAACUUAACAGAACCACCAAGGA